UUGCCGUAAAUAAAUACUUUUACGUUUUUAUCGUCGUGAACUUUAGUAGGAGACUUCGAGAAAGUCAUUCAUACUGUUUCAACGACCACACGGGCGGAAAAGUUAGCUUUGUAACUUAGCCGCAUAGCUAACAACAACAGUGGCUCGCGGCAUCUUUUCACCUGUUUUAGCGUAAAUUAGAAGCUGGAUGUUAGUUCACGUUUGUUUCUGAUGUUAGGAAACGUUUGUUGACGAUGCAAGAUCAUGGCGGUCUUAAGAGAAGGUAUGUGUCCUGGACUGGAUGCGGAUUUACUGCGUGACCUGCGUGCUGCCGAUGUUAAAACAGUGGAGGACGUGGUCUCAUCUGACAUCGAGGAACUUGCACAGAGAUGCUCUGUGUCAUAUAAGGCUCUGUUUGCCAUCCGCCGAGUACUGCUGGCCCAACACACUGCUUUCCCCGUGUCAGGCGCUGAUCUGUAUGAAGAACUAUUGAGCUCAACAGCCAUCCUCUCUACUGGAAAUCCCAGUUUAGAUAAACUGCUGGAUUCAGGCUUGUAUACUGGAGAGAUAACGGAGCUGUCAGGAGGCCCAGGAAGUGGCAAAUCUCAGGUGUGUUUCGGAGUUGCAGUGCACAUUUCUCACCGGCUGAAACAGAGUGUAAUAUUUAUUGAUACGACAGGAGGGCUGACUGCCAGCCGCUUGCUUCAAAUGCUACAAGCUGAAACAAGUAACACAGAAGAGCAGAUGGAAGCUCUUCAGAGGAUCCAUAUCUUUCAUUUGUUUAACAUCUUCUCUUUACUCGACUGUCUGUACGGUCUUUGCAGCGGUGGGCUUCAGCAGGCCUCUGUUGGCGGUGGCUCUGUCAAGGCAGUGAUCGUGGACUCGGUGUCAGCUGUUAUCUCUCCUCUACUGGGAGGCAAACAAAAUGAAGGCAUGUCCUUGAUGAUACAAGUGGCAGGAGUUCUUAAGACAAUGGCAAAGGACUUCAAUGUUGCUGCUUUGGUUACAAACCAUGUUACAAGAAGUGGCAGCGGGGAGGUGCAGCCAGGCCUCGGUGUGUCUUGGAGUCAGGUCCCCAGAACCAGGAUCCUGCUGGAGCGAUUAGAGAGGGCUGCGGCCAUCAGCCACUCCACCCUGCGCUCUGCAACACUGAUCAAAUCUUCUAGACAGCCUUGUCACAUCAAAGAAGAGUUUGACUUGCAGUGGUGGAGUCGCUCUGAAGAAGGAUCCUCUGGAAAGAGAAAACUGCAUGAGACUGAUUCCUGAUGAGAGCCAGUUAUAAUCGUAUGACCAAAGCGCAUGCCUCCAUCAUGGUGAUCAGGGACUCGGAUCGUCCAGGGGCUCUUGCUCCCCUCCUACGACAACGCCGCAGCAGUCCACUGUUUCCCCGGUGCCCGUUUGCUGGACCUCAACACACAGCUUUCAGCAGUACACGGAAAGCACGCCAACGUCAGUAUUGUGGUGGCAGCAACAGCACAGCUUACCAAUUCUCAGAACUACUGUCUGUCAGUCGCACAAGCUUUGACUUCAUCCAUCCAUCCAUCCAUCCAUCUAUUUUCGUCCGGCUUAUCCGUGGCCAGGUCGCACACCAGAUGUCCCUGUCCCCAGCAACGCUUUCCAGUUCCUGGGGGGACCCCAAGGCUUUCCCGGGCCUACCAGUAGGACUUGCCUGGAACACCUCCAACGGGAGGCGCCCAGGAGGCAUCCUGAUCAGAUGCCCGAACCACCUCGACUGGCCUCUUUCCACACAAAGGAGCAGCAGCUCUACUCCAAGCUCCUUCUGGAUGUCCGAGCUCCUCACCCUGAGCCCAGCCACCCUACGGGGGAAUCUCAUUUCAGCUGCUUGUAUCCGCUAUCUCAUUCUUUUGGUCACUACCCAGAGCUCAUGACCAUAGGUGAGGGUUAGAACAUAGAUGGACCGGUAAAUCGAGAGCUUUGCCUUCCAGCUCAACUCCUUCUUCACCACAGAAGUCAGACCCAACUCCCGCAUCACUGCGGAUGCUGCACCAAACUGCCUGUCCAUCUCACGCACCGUUCUACCCUCACUCAUGAAAAAGACCCUGAGAUACUUGAAAUCCUUUGCUUGAGGCAGCAACUCACUCCCUACCCAGAAAUCCCGACUCAGAUCUGGAGGUGCUGACAGGCAUCCUGACCGUCUCACACUCAGCUGCAAUCCACCCCAGUGCAUGCUAGAGGUCACGGUGUGAUAAAGUCAACAGAACCACAUCAUCUGCAAAAAGCAGAGAUGCAAUUCUAAAGUCCCCAAACUGGACCCCUUCUUCCCCCCAGGUGCGCCUUGAGAUCCUGUCCAUGAAAAUUACAAACAGGAUCGGAGACAAGGGACAACCCUGGUGGAGGCCAACAUCAACUCGAAACAUGUUUGACUUCACGCCGAGUAUGCGGACACAGUUCUCACUUUGGUUAUACAGGAACCAUUUGGCUCGCAGAAGCGACCCCGGCACCCGGGGUACCCUUGCUAGGGUAAAGAGCUACAAUAGAUUAUCUUUUAAAUCCAAAAUUAAAUAACAGUAUUGCGCUUCCGGCCUCUAAAUGGGAAGAGUUUGCUGCCUACUUCAGAAAGAAAAUUAUCAACAUAAGGUCUGGCGUCUGCCAGCAAAACACGCCCAUUGCACCUUUAUCUGUACCCUGUUUACAAUGUGACGCAAAGUAUGAAUGCUUUGACCUGGUUGAUGCUGAGACUCUGAUCUCAUCCCAACUUCUCUUUUUAAAACCAUUUUUAAUUCUUUAUCUGAAGACACCCUUGCCAUAGUUACUAUACUCUCUACUGCUGGGCGUCUUCCCCAAUUAUUUUAAAACAGCUUUAGUUGAACCUCUUAAAAAAAGGAACUAUAUAUUUUAUCAUUAAGCAAUCAUAGACCAAUUUCAAAUCUCCCAUUUUGAGUACAGUUUUUAGAGAAAUAAAUUUUGGCGUUUGUUGGCCCGUCUGGAAUGGCCUGUUUUAAAUUGGUUCAGUUUAUAUCAUUGUGGAAGAAAGUUUUUAGAUAAUCCCUGCUCCAAACAAUAUGAGGUUACCUGUUGUGUACCACAAGAAUCUAUUGUAGGACCUUUACUUUUUAAUCUAUAUAUGCUACUGCUGGGCAGUGUCAUCAGGAGGCAUGGCAUUUCUUUCCACAGCUAUGCUGAUGACACUCAGCUCUAUGUGGCUGUGUCUCCUGAUGACACUGGGCCGAUUAAAUCACUUUUUAACUGUAACUUUUUACAACUCAACCAUGGCAAAGCAGAAGUACCAGUCAUGGAUCGAAGGCUCAGAGAGAGAAACUUGCCUCCAAACUAAACAUACUUGUACUAAACCCAAGUCAAGAAGCAAGAAAUGUAGGGGUCAUAUUUGAUUCAGAUUUUAAUUUUAAACCCCACAUUCUUAGUAUUACAAAAACAGUAUUUUAUCAUUUAAAACAGUAUUUCCAAAGUCAGGCUGUUUCUCUCUUUGAGCAACACAGAGAAACUAAUGCGUGCUUUUAUAACCAGCAGGCUGGACUACUGUAAUGCUCUCCUUUCUGGUCUACCAAAGAACACAAUCAAUCAGCUGCAGCUAAUUCAGAACUCUGCAACACAAGUUUUGACUAAGACAAGAAAGAGAGCACACCUUACGACUAUUUUAAAAGCUAUACAGUGGUUGCCUGUUAGUUUUCAGAUAAAUUUUACUUUUUUUUAAUUGUAAAGUUCUUUUAUUAGUUUAUAAGGCACUACAUGGCCUUGCACUGGACUACAUUUACGCACAAGGAAGGCCCCUCAGAUCCUCCGACUCCAAAAGAACAGCCCGCCGGAGAAUCUCAGAGGAGCUGCAAAUGUUGAUACUUUUAAACAUAAACUAUCUUUUUAGUCUGGCUUUUAUGUAGUGUCUUACUAUUUUAUGGUUUUUAC
Non-coding RNA from Plectropomus leopardus (leopard coralgrouper), 3861 nucleotides. NCBI's taxonomy places the organism in Eukaryota, Metazoa, Chordata, Actinopteri, Perciformes, Serranidae. The record is from RefSeq and is a predicted model, not a curated record.